UGUAUUUCAAAAGUUUAGUUCCGGAUGAACUGGUGAUUGUUUAUGGCUCUGCAAGGAUAACGCUAUACUAGUAUAGAGCUCAACAGCCAGGAGUGUCACUUUGGCGAGGCCAGGCGAGGGAAUGGCGAGAUGUAGGGCUGAACCGGAAGCCCUUACUCACUCCAUGGUGGGUCACAAGAGUGAGGAACCAACCCAUCCUUUCAAGCCUGGAGAUCUGGUCUGCAUUCGCCAGCUGAAUAAAGCAAAGAAAGGAGGUUUCCCGUUCAGCAAGCCAGUCACUGUUAUCGCUGUAACCAGGACUGCCGUACUGACUGACGACAAGGACAUCUAGAUACACGCUUCACGAGUGAAACUCUGUCCAAAGAGAGGAGAAGCGGGUGACAAGCUAUCGGUCACCCCUCACAAAGGAGAAGUGGGUGAUAAGGUACAGAUCACACCUCACAAAGACCAGGAUGACGUUCUAAAUCAUGGAUCCAAGACAUUCCUGCAAGAUCUUCCUUUUCCUAAUGGGGAUAUUGAUCUUUGUGUAUAUCCCAAUAGUAUUAAUAACGGCAUGUUAUUACUCACCUGAAGAUGCUGAACACUUUACACCUAUUUGUUUACUAUUAUUAACAUUGUUUAACUGUUACAUGUCUUGUACUUUACGAAAGAAAAUAUUAGGUAUGAUACAAGAUGCAGAAAAAGUUCAACUGCAAAAUUUAAUUAGAGGUAGACCUAGAUAGUUUAUAUUGUAGGAACAUUAUUAUAUAUAUUAUAUAUAUUAUGUUAUAUGGGUAAUUUGAAUCUCACAUAUUAAGCAUAUUGAGGGUAACCUUAAAUCUUGUAUCAAAUGUUUAUAAUGUAGCACACAGUAUCCCAUAGCAACAUUCCACAAGUUUCUUUUGUAUAAGUUGUAACAUUUGGUUCUAAUAUAAGAUCCUCUCUACAAAUGGUUAUAUGGGCAUAUUCUGUUAUGUGCUAUAACAACAUUCUUAUUUCCUGUGGGCCCCUUAUGCAGAUGUGAAGUUAACUAUGUUUUUUAUAUAUUUCCUGUGACCUCAUGUAUGACGUAUACUUCAUUAUAAAGUCUUUGUGUGUUUUUCAAUAAAUGGGAAUCUUGUGAAAACA
Molecule: long non-coding RNA, 1107 nt
Organism: Bombina bombina (fire-bellied toad)
Lineage: Eukaryota; Metazoa; Chordata; Amphibia; Anura; Bombinatoridae
Exons: 3
Source: RefSeq, a predicted model, not a curated record